AUGUCUCCUACAUGGCCACGCUUCAGUGUACCCGAAGCGCAGACGCGGUUUAUGAAGUCUACCAGAGAAGCCCCGAACAACAAAAAUAUCAAGCCAUUGUUGAAUACCUUCAGCCAGUUACCUGGAACUGAGGAUGAAAAAAAAUGUACCCUUGACCAAGCUUUCAGAGGUGUUCUGCAAGAAGAAAUUAUAAAUCACUCAUCGUGUGAAAAUGUUUUAGCUAUUAUUUCUCUUGCUAUUGGGGGAGUAACUGAAGGUAUUUGCACCGCAUCUGCACCUUCUGUAUUGUUGGGAGACGUUUCGGAAUGUCUCCCUUUGGAUCAGUGUGACACAAUAUUCACGUUUGUGGAAAAAAAUGUUGCUACUUGGAAAUCAAAUACAUUCUAUUCUGCUGGGAAAAAUGAUUUACUACGUAUGUGCAAUGAUCUCUUAAGAAGAUUAUCAAAAUCCCAGCACACAGUUUUGCAUGCACGAAUUCAACUCUUUUUGGCCAGGCUUUUCCCUUUAUCUGAGAGAUCCGGUCUUAACUUGCAGAGUCAGUUUAAUCAGGAAAAUGUCACCGUUUUCAAUACCAAUGAGCAGGAAAGCACCUUGGGUCAGAAGCACGCUGAAGACGGAGGAGAAGGAAUGGACGUAGACGAAGGUGACAUGGGUGAUGAUGAAGCUCCAACAACUUGCUCCAUCCCAAUGGAUUACAGCCUGUACCGCAAAUUCUGGUCCCUUCAGGAACCCUGUGCGAUGCUGUGAGAAGAUUUCAUGGAAAACUUUCCUCAAGUACUCAGACGAAGUCCUGGCUGUUUUCAAGAAUUAUAAAUUAGGUGAUACUCAGGCCUCAAGAAAAAAGACGGGAGAAUUAAAAACAGGAGGAGAACAUGUAUAUGGUGCAACAUUUUUAACAAGUGAAAAGUUGCUGGGUUUACAACUGAGUGACAGUAACUUUCGCCGACACAUUCUACUGCAGUAUCUCAUUUUAUUCCAAUAUCUUAAGGGACAGGUGAAAUCCAAAUGUUCAAACGAUGUUUUAACUGAUGAGCAGUCACUCUGGAUUGAAGGUACUACAAAAUCAGUUUAUCAACUGCUCUCUGAAAACCCACCCGAUGGAGAGAGAUUUUCAAAGAUGGUAGAGCAUAUAUUAAACACUGAAGAAAACUGGAACUCAUGGAAAAAUGAAGGCUGCCCAAGUUUUGUGAAGGAAAGAACAUCAGAUACUAAGCCGACGAGAGCAGUACGAAAGAGAACAGCACCAGAGGACUUCCUGGGGAAAGGGCCCAACAAAAAGAUUCUGAAGGGAAAGGGGGCGUUAACAAGCCUUUGGGAUCUCUGCCCGGAUAAUAUGGAAGCUUGUAAAUCAGCCCCCAGAGGCUAUAUGCCAACUUUGGAGGAAUUCUUUGAAGAAGCCAUUGAACAGGCAGACCCGGAAAGCAUGAUUGAGAAUGAAUAUAAGGUUGUGAACAAUCCAAAUUAUGGUUGGAGAGCCCUGAGACUGUUAGCACGGAGAAGCCCUCACUUCUUCCAGCCAACCAAACAACAGUUCAAAAGUUUGCCAGAAUAUCUCGAAAACAUGGUACUAAAGCUAGCAAUGGAAUAACCACCUCCUUCUGAAGAAAUAAAAACAGGUGAGGGUGAAGAUGAGGAAGAUAAUGAUGCUGUACUGAAGGGAAAUGAAAGCCCUGAUGCUCACCGAGACAAACCUGUAACAGGGGAAAAAUAGAGAUAUUUGCCAACAAAUUGGGUGAACAAUGGAACAUUCUGGCUCCUUCCACAUCACCUCAGAUUGAAAAGAAAAAAAAAACUCCUAAAAAAAAGCACCCCCAAAAAACUUCCCCAAAAAACCUCCUCAGAAAUGACAUUGAUCCAGCCUUUCAACGCGCAGAGGCUUUGGCAAGCCCAAAUGGCCCGGCCAGGACUUGA
RNA transcript from Myotis lucifugus (little brown bat), 1911 nucleotides. It is a transcript of the gene named THO complex subunit 1 pseudogene, with no coding region annotated. The transcript has a single exon. The record is from RefSeq and is a predicted model, not a curated record. NCBI's taxonomy places the organism in Eukaryota, Metazoa, Chordata, Mammalia, Chiroptera, Vespertilionidae.